GCGUAUUGUACUGAUUUUUCUUUAUUUUUCUUCGGUCUUGAAAACCGGCGACCCGAAAGGGUUCCAGAGUUCGAAUCUCUGCGCUUCCGCCA
Molecule: transfer RNA, 92 nt
Filed under: Caudoviricetes sp.
Lineage: Duplodnaviria; Heunggongvirae; Uroviricota; Caudoviricetes
Description: tRNA-Ser
Source: RNAcentral